This 509-nucleotide long non-coding RNA is filed under the name Helianthus annuus (common sunflower). RNAcentral's name for it is "sRNA HanXRQr2_Chr01g0010861". The record is from RNAcentral. Lineage: Eukaryota; Viridiplantae; Streptophyta; Magnoliopsida; Asterales; Asteraceae.
CAUCUCCUUCUCGCUAUGUGGGGUGGAUCACACAGGUCUCAGGCGAGUUCAAGUGAAAACGCAAUUCUCUCCCGGUUGUAGCUACGGUUGCCAUUCAUUCUUAAAUUGAAUUUUGCUUCGAAAGGUCGCUUCUCUAGCAAAGCUUACGCUUAACGAAAGUGGGUUUCAUUAAUACAGAUAUUCAAGAAAGCUUUCCAGACCAUCUUUCUACUUUGAUGCCCUGAAGAAGAAACAAAAUCAUGGGAAAAAUGAUCAAUGUUGCAAUUUCAGAUAUAGUGGAGAUGAUAGCCAACCAUUUACUCUUCAAGGUUUACAAAGCGGAUGAUGAUGACAUCGACGGUGAUUAUUAAUAUCUUUGUGUCGUAGGUGUCUUGAUCCAAUUAAAUUAUGGGAGCCCGUAGCCACUUCAGUAUGUCGUAAAUGUUGCUUUCUUAGCUACUGACGUGCGUCGGAGUAUAUAUAUUUUUAAUGUAUAUUUUAGUUCUUUUUACUCGCCGAUUCAAGUUUUA